GAUCAACGCUGGCGGCGUGCCUAAUGCAUGCAAGUCGAGCGGGGUGGCCUUCGGGCCACUUACGCGGCGGACGGGUGCGUAACACGUGGGCAACCUGCCCCGAGGUGGGGGAUAGCCGUGGGAAACCGCGGGUAAUUCCGCAUGUGGUGCUGUGUCGACAGGACGCGGUACGAAAGGGUCUUUUGACUCGCCUUGGGAGGGGCCUGCGGCCGAUUAGCUAGUUGGUGGGGUCACGGCCUACCAAGGCGGCGAUCGGUAGCUGGUCUGAGAGGACGGCCAGCCACACGGGGACUGAGACACGGCCCCGACUCCUACGGGAGGCAGCAGCAAGGAAUCUUCCGCAAUGGGCGACAGCCUGACGGAGCAACGCCGCGUGCGGGAUGACGCCCUUCGGGGUGUAAACCGCUUUUCUUCGGGAAGAACGUGGAGCGAUCCACCUGACGGUACCGGAGGAAGAAGGACCGGCUAACUACGUGCCAGCCGCCGCCGUAACAC
This 495-nucleotide ribosomal RNA is filed under the name uncultured bacterium. Its description in RNAcentral is "bacterial SSU rRNA". It matches the Rfam family "Bacterial small subunit ribosomal RNA", at positions 28 to 526 of the family's 1533-position model. The record is from RNAcentral.